This 229-nucleotide long non-coding RNA is filed under the name Rattus norvegicus (Norway rat). RNAcentral describes it as "long non-coding RNA NONRATT031945". The record is from RNAcentral. Lineage: Eukaryota; Metazoa; Chordata; Mammalia; Rodentia; Muridae.
CACAGAAUGGAGCCUGCGUUCUCGGUUCCGGAAGCAGGAGGCGUCUUUCUCAGGAUGUGUCCCACCAAGCAACUGAAAACCAGUGGUCUCAAGAACAAAUAAUUCGGGACAUUAUAGAUCAGGGUUUGGAGCUGUUUGGGAAGAAUAACCUUCUCUUUGCUAUGAGACACUUCAAUACCUGAAAAUCCCCAGGGGAAGCUGGGUUCUAACCAGGAAGCAUAAGAAGGCC